AUUGCCACUCAGUCUUACAGUGCCAUUGCUGUUGCAUCUGUGUCUGUCUGUGGCAAACAGCAAAGGGCUCUAACUACGCUCAGUUCCCAGAAUACAGUGGGGGGCUCAGAAUGACUUGUAGCCCUAUAGG
Scleropages formosus (Asian bonytongue) is the source of this 130-nucleotide small nucleolar RNA. Ensembl annotates it as small nucleolar RNA SNORA17. The record is from Ensembl. NCBI's taxonomy places the organism in Eukaryota, Metazoa, Chordata, Actinopteri, Osteoglossiformes, Osteoglossidae.